Molecule: long non-coding RNA, 321 nt
Organism: Oncorhynchus keta (chum salmon)
Lineage: Eukaryota; Metazoa; Chordata; Actinopteri; Salmoniformes; Salmonidae
Exons: 3
Source: RefSeq, a predicted model, not a curated record
CUGUUGACCAGGUACACACCCCAGGACUCUACAAUACACACCUAGAGAGAUGGUUAACACACUACCCUGUUGACCAGGUACACACCCCGGGACUCUACUAUAGACACCUAGAGAGAUGGUUAACACACUACCCUGUUGACCAGGUACACACCCCGGGACUCUACAAUACACACCUAGAGAGAUGGUUAACACACUACCCUGUUGACCAGCUGAUGGUUAUAGAUGGACAGCAGUUGAGGAGAGAUCCAGCUGCUGUGAUGGAGGAGGUCCAGAAGGUCCUGGGGAUUACUCCUCACUACAACUACACACAGACUCUACGGU